CAGCCAGACUCCUACGGGAGGCAGCAGUGAGGAAUAUUGGUCAAUGGUCGGGAGACUGAACCAGCCAAGCCGCGUGAGGGAUGAAGGUACAGAGUCUCGUAAACCUCUUUUGUCAGGGAACAAAGGCGGGGACGUGUCCCCGGAUGAGUGUACCUGAAGAAAAAGCAUCGGCUAACUCCGUGCCAGCAGCCGCGGUAAUACGGAGGAUGCGAGCGUUAUUCGGAUUUAUUGGGUUUAAAGGGUGCGCAGGGGGGCUGGUAAGGCGGGGGUGAAAGCCCGGGGCCCCACCCCGGCACCGCCGUUGAAACUGGCAGUCUCGAGUUGGAGAGAAGUAUGCGGAAUGCGCGGUGUAGCGGUGAAAUGCAUAGAUAUCGCGCAGAACUCCGAUUGCGAAGGCAGCAUGCCGGCUCCACACUGACGCUGAGGCACGAAAGCGUGGGUAUCGAACAGGAUUAGAUACCCCUGUA
Molecule: ribosomal RNA, 467 nt
Filed under: uncultured bacterium
Lineage: Bacteria
Description: bacterial SSU rRNA
Rfam family: Bacterial small subunit ribosomal RNA
Source: RNAcentral